CAGGACUUUUGCAUAUUGCCAAAAAGAGAACGGGGAGACAUAGUUUCAGGUUUGGGUAUACAGCAAGUCUUGAAGGCAUGCCCAUAGUGAGGACUUUGAUGAAUGGCUCACCACUUCUCCCACGACCCAUCCAAACCUGUAGUGUUAAGGAAGUGAGGUGCUAUUGCUCUUUUAGUAGGCUGGGACACCAGGCCACCACAAUUAUUAAAAAUGUAGGGUUAUUUCAGGAAGGUAGAACAUAUGCUGACCAUACGAAAUAUAUUUUUAGGCAGAUCUUAUCUGGAGAAUGUCGCUUUUGAUGAAGGAAACUAGGUAAAAAUUAUCUUGCUACUCAGAAGAAUUGUUUUAGGUAAGAUAGAUCAAUGGCAAAGAUACUUAAUUGGUUUAAUCACUUUGAAGUCUUGAGGAUGGCCACACAAAUCUGUCUUUCUGAGUAUGGAGAGGGAAAGACCUUGUCUCCUUCAUGUCCAUGUUCUUUUCUCAGUGCUGUUGUCAGGAGCUAGUUGCCACACUUCAAUACCCCCAGGCUCCAAACAGCAUAGGCGAGGGUGGGCUUAGGAUGUGGCUUGUUGCAUAUGUACUUGGUGAUUCCUCCUUGGGCUGGUUUCCUCGUCUACUGAUGGCAAAGUGAAUGUAUCUGUGCAUUGCCAAGUGGCCCUCCCACCCCUGCUCAACGUCUCGUCAUACAUUAUAAUGAGCAGCAACCUCAGCUCUAUGGGGGUAGCCUCAGAAUCUUCCUCCAAGCUAUGACUUUGCGAUGCAGGCAGAAGGACAGGGAAUUGUGUGUGCUUCCUUUUUACCUCUCUCUUUUACUCUCAGCAGACCACUCAAAUGAUGAUGAGCUGCCAAGCUAUAAAUCGUUGAAGAUUCUCUGGCCAGGGAAGCUAUGAAAAAGGAGAGAACUGGUAGGGAGAAAAGAUAGGAGAGCAACACACAUCUUUGCUUCAGGGAUCCAAGGAGGACCACCACA
This 970-nucleotide long non-coding RNA is filed under the name Homo sapiens (human). RNAcentral's name for it is "long non-coding RNA NONHSAT218295". Lineage: Eukaryota; Metazoa; Chordata; Mammalia; Primates; Hominidae. The record is from RNAcentral.